GACAGAGGCCUCGAGCGUUAGGCGGAAUCACUGGGCUUAAAGCGUGUGUAGGCGGACGCCUAAGUGUCUUGUGAAAUCCCACGGCUCACCCGUGGAACUGCUGGGCAUACUGGGCGUCUUGGGCCAACUAGGGGCAGCCGGAACAAGCGGUGGAGCGGUGAAAUGCGUAGAUAUCGCUUGGAACGCCGAAGGUGAAAACAGGCUGCUGGGGUUGCGCAGACGCUGAGACACGAAAGCCAGGGGAGCAAACGGG
This 253-nucleotide ribosomal RNA is filed under the name uncultured bacterium. RNAcentral describes it as "partial 16S ribosomal RNA". It matches the Rfam family "Bacterial small subunit ribosomal RNA", at positions 524 to 776 of the family's 1533-position model. The record is from RNAcentral.